RNAcentral lists this long non-coding RNA (878 nucleotides) under Mustela putorius furo (domestic ferret). RNAcentral's name for it is "lncRNA (ENSMPUG00000026683.1)". The record is from RNAcentral. Lineage: Eukaryota; Metazoa; Chordata; Mammalia; Carnivora; Mustelidae.
GGAACUUGUGUUUCUAUAAAUUCUGCAUUUUGGCACACUUCUCUGUGGGUUGUUUUAGUAUCAACUGUAAAUGUAAUAACCAUUUUCUUUUUUAUUUUUUCAUUUAAAUCUAGGCCAUUAAUAAAUACUAAUAUUUAGAUAUAGACAUCUAGAAUACUUUUUAGACUAAUACUCCCCAAUUGUUGAUCAGUUAUUAGUCAAUAUUACCACCUAAGUAAUUUUCCAUGAUUCUUUUGUCAUUUGCAGCAUAUUCAUUUUAUUUAACAACAUUUUUUGAAUGCUGGCUCCCCAAAUGUCACCAACCAACCAAUUGAUAAGACAAAGGGACGGAGCUGGGUUUGAAAUUCCUGAACACUCUGAAUUCCUAGGCACUCUCAUUCCUAGGAUCACUUGUGGCCCAGUGUUCUGCUCAGUGCUCCUUCUACUUGUAUUCACCUGUAUUUUCAUCCUCCCCAGUUCAGCCCCAUUUGCUUCAGUUUACUCAUCUCUAAACCACUCUCCCAAAGCACACGUAUGUAUAGCACUCUUUACUCAAGGUUGCUUGGUGGGUGGUGAGUUUAGGAGAGGGAAAGACAUAGGAGUAGAGACACAUUAUGGCAGAACAAACAACAUCACGCAGCUCUGUUUCGUUUUUGUUUUUGUUUUGUUUUUUCCUAAGAUUUUAUUUAUUUGACAGAGAGCACAAGCAGGGGGAGUGGCAGGCAGAGGGAGAGGGAGAAGCAGGCUCCCCACUGAAGAAGAACCUGAGAUCACGACCUGAGCCAAAGGUAGACACUUACCAAUGGAGCCACCCCAAGGGCCCCAGGCAGCUGUGUUCUUAAAAUUCCUUGGCCACUCUAUACCUGGAAAUUCCACAGUGACCACUUUGUCUAAAGGCC